CCUACGGGGGGCUGCAGUGAGGAAUAUUGGUCAAUGGACGAGAGUCUGAACCAGCCACGUAGCGUGAAGGAUGACUGCCCUAUGGGUUGUAAACUUCUUUUAUAGAGGAGUAAAACGAGGCACGUGUGCCUUUUUGCAUGUACUUUAUGAAUAAGGAUCGGCUAACUACGUGCCAGCAGCCGCGGUAAUACGGAGGAUCCGAGCGUUAUCCGGAGUUAUUGGGUUUAAAGGGAGCGUAGAUGGGUUGUUAAGUCAGUUGUGAAAGUUUGCGGCUCAACCGUAAAAUUGCAAUUGAUACUGGCAGUCUUGAGUACAGGUGAGGUAGGCGGAAUUCGUGGUGUAGCGGUGAAAUGCUUAGAUAUCACGAAGAACACCGAUUGCGAAGGCAGCUUACUAAACUGUGACUGACAUUGAUGCUCGAAAGUGUGGGUAGCAAACAGGAUUAGAUACCCCGGUAGUC
Molecule: ribosomal RNA, 460 nt
Filed under: uncultured bacterium
Lineage: Bacteria
Description: partial 16S ribosomal RNA
Rfam family: Bacterial small subunit ribosomal RNA
Source: RNAcentral